Molecule: non-coding RNA, 4140 nt
Organism: Camellia sinensis
Lineage: Eukaryota; Viridiplantae; Streptophyta; Magnoliopsida; Ericales; Theaceae
Source: RefSeq, a predicted model, not a curated record
CCCUCCUUUGUUUCUCACUGACUCAAAUCUCCAAUCCCUAAUCCCUUAAACAAAAAAAUCCCCAAUUUCAAAAAUCUCCAAAAUACUGUACCAUCUCUCUCUCUCUCUCUCUCUCUCCUUCCCUCCCUCUCUCUCUCUCUCUCACUUUCACGUCUGCAAGCAGUGACAGUACUGGCAGCAGCAGCAAGGGGGGACGAUGGCGAGCAGCGAGCGACGACUGUGAGCAGCGAGUGACGACAGCUAGCAGCGGUGGUGCGGUGUCUCAGAUACCUUUGCCGAUUCAACCCAUCCUUCCGAUUGAGCUAUUACGGUUUUGCCCCAAAACGAAAACCCGGCAACGCCGACUGAGAAUUUUUAUUGCUUUUGGUGAUGGAGCAUGGGUCGUUCCAGGACCAAACAACAUUGACAUUAUUUUUGGCUGAUGAGGAUCAUACACUAGCAAAUUCAGUCAGAUUCACUCUCAAUCAAAAGUUAAUUAGUUCUCUUCUAAUUCUUUGAUGUUAUAAAUUGCGUAUGUUGUUUCCAAAAUCAUUUGUGCACACCAUGCUAGCUCUGAUUUUUGUGAUUGCCCUAGUUUAUAUGCUCUAUUUCAAAAACAGUUUUUUGUAUUUGAACUGUUGUAUGUGAUCUUCAUGCUAUAAUCAUAUGCUUUUCAAGCUCAGUUUCAUUGUGUGCCUCCUAUAUGGAUAGUUUAAAGGGCCUUUCAUAGCUUUUAUUUCUUCAGUAACAAUUUCAUUUUUUUUUUGUUCCUACUUAGUUUGACAGGAUGAAACCAUAACCAUCUUAUUUCUUUGACUGUCCUUUAGAUCUUCUGUUCACUUUGAGCUUAACAAUAUCAAUGUAGAUCCUGAUUAUUAUUGUACAUCUCAUAAUCUGAUCAAAUUUGAUUACUUUUGUAUUGCGGAUUCAAAGUUAUUGUGACAAUUUAUUAAUGUAAACUUAGAAUAUCUGAAUCUGAAGUUAUUACAAUAAUCUAGUUCUUUUGUUUGUGAUUGACUCUGUGUGAUUUAUUUAGCUACAAAAUUAUUCUACUGCUGAACAUCUCACAAUCUUGUCAAGUUCAAUUAAUUCUAUAUCACCAGAUUCAAAGUUAUUACAGUAAUUUGUUGAUGUAAACGUAGUAUAAAUGAAGUUAUUAUGAUAAUUGCAUUUUUUUUUUGGUUUGUGAUUGAUUCUAUGUGGUUUAUUUGGUAACAAAAUUAUUGUACCCUGUACAUCUCAACCUGAUCGAGCUUAAUUAAGAUUCAAAGUUAUUACGGUAAUCUAGCUUUUUUGUCUGUGAUUGAUUUUGUGUGAUUUAUUUGGAAACAAAAUUAUCCUAUGACUGUACAUCUCACAAUGUGAUCGGGCUUGAUUACUUUGGUAUUGCAGAUUCAAAGUUGUUAUGAUAAUAUGUUGAUGUAAACUUGGUAUAUUUGAAAUUAUUAUAGUGAUUUAUUUUUCUUGUUUGUGAUUAAUUAUAUGCAAUUUAUUUGACAACAAAACUAUCCUACUAUUGUACAUCUCACAACCUAAUCGAGCUUGAUUACUUAUGUAUCACAAAUUCAAAGUUAAUAUUGUAAUCUAUUGAUGUAAACUUAGUAUAUCUGAAGUUAUUACAUUAAUCUAGAUUUUUUGUUUGUGAUUGAUUUUGUGUGAUUUAUUUGGCAACAAAAUUAUCCUACCAUAAAGUAGUGAUUACUUGUUUAUUUUAGAAUUGAUUUCAAAGUAAAUUUUAAACUUCUUAGUAGUUUUCCUUUUGUUUUUCAAUGAUAAGCUUGCAUUGUUAUUAAUGUCAUGGUAACAAUUAUUCUUCUAAGAGUAGAAAUUAUCAAGUAAGUCUGCAGUACCACGUGGCAGCAAGUCUGGAAUGUCAUAUGACCGUAUGCCUUUCUAGCCCAUCUAAUAGUAUUUUGUGAUUUAUCCACUAUAUCUUUUAUAUUUUGGACCUUACUAUUGGUGGACACAAAAUCAACAAGUAUUCUUGGAAGAUAGAAUAAUUACUCGUGAUAGAGAGUGUUUUUGUUUUACCAAUUAAUAUUGGUAGAGGGACCUCUUAGCAAAACUAAUUAGUGCAUAGGUUUCUUAUUAACCUUAGAAAACUGUGUUCCUUAGUCAUAUAGAAAGAAACCAUAAUCACCAUACCAUCACAUAAGAAGACCCUACCUUGAGAGACAAAGGAGAGGCUAUGGAGGGCUCUGUCACACAUCAAGAUUCACUUUCUAGGAAAGCUCUAAGCUCAUGUAUUUAUGUUUCAUGCAUGAAAUCAUGAAUAGGGUUAACCUUGGGUUAUUGUUUUCUUUCAUUGAUGAGCAAUUGGUAAUUGUUGACUUACUAGUUUCUCUAGUUCAUAAACCUUGUGUUUCAUAGAUAAUGAGAAUUACGUGACCUAAAACCAAUGGCGGUAAAUUAAUAUUGACACAAACUAUUUUUUACGAGGGAAAUCUUUAACAUUUUUGAGAUUCACCCUCUACAAUAAGGGGAAAAAAAGAAGCCAAAAUAAGUGACUUCAUCAAGGUAUAAAGGCUCCAAAAACAGCCCGUGGACUCUUUAACAUUUUUGGUGCGUGUGUUUGUGUCUGAACCCUAGUGGAUUAUAGGUGAAUGCUGUAGAACCCUUCAAACUUCUAUUAAGCAAAGAAAGUUUGUUCUUUUCGGCUUUUCUUGUGUUGUGGAAAGCAUUUUAUGUUUAGUGAGUCUGAUGUUUGUUUUUACCUAACUUUUUUGUGUUUUAUGGGCAAUUGAUCCACAUUUUGUUGGGUAUUUUUUGUACCUGGCUUGUCUUUGAUCCAAAAUCGGCUGUGUUAUUGUUUGAAUGCAAUCUAGUUCACUUACUUGGGAAAAAAUAUUCUUCUACUUGUGAUGUCAUAUCUGCAAAUUGUCUUCACUUUUGGACUGCCUAUCAGUCACUUCAAUGAACAUAUAAUGUUAGACUAACCUUUGCAAUUCAUGUAGGCUUUGUAAGCAACAUGUAAUUAAUACUUUUGAGAACAUUUGAAGUGGAACUUUGCUUAGAUUAAGGGUAAAAUUGAAUUUUCUUUGAGGAUAUAGAACGGUUUCUGUGCGGUUUGAUUGAUUUUUGUUGUUAAUUAUUAUUAAUACUCAUAUUUGUGGUAAUUACCUCUUCUUGCUGCAUGUAGUAAAAUGUGUUUUUCAUUAGUGGAUUGGCAGUUUGACACUUCAAAGAUUUUGAAUUAUGAAUAUUACGAAUAUUUCAUAAGUUUGAAUUUUCAUAUGCUUUCUCUGUAAAUAUGUAAGGAAUUUGUGGACUGAUUUAGUAAGUAAUAUAAGUAGAAAUGAAGGUAAAAUUCUCUUUCUUAUUCUUCUUUUAUUAAUUGCAUGACAUUGUAUUCAUGUCAAUGUUUGAGUCAAAUAUUGUUUGCAUCUUUUGUUGAAGGAGAUUUGUAAAAGUUUUUUUAGCCAUGUGUUGGUAUGAAUAUUAUCACCACUAGUGAGAAUAUAGUUACAACAUAAGUGGCCUUGGCUAAAGGGACUAAAGGUAAGUGCCAUCUAUGUUACAAAAGCAACAAAUGGAGACCACUGACCACAAAAGGAAGUCCCCAUUUCCCCCACCUCUUUUCUCUAUGUAUUUGUCUCUCUCAUAAUGUAAUAGAGUUGUGGAAAAUUCAUGAUCACUUGUGAACAUUUGAUGAGAGUAUUUCUAUAUAUGUUUUUUUAAAGGGUGAAAAAUAUUUCAAGUCUUUUUUCCCCCCCAAAGGGCCUAAUUGGUAUCAUUUUCAUUCUUCAAGUUCUUGGAAACAAAAAAAUAGUAGUGUUCGAAAACAAUUAGGAAAACAGUUUCCCAAAAUUGGAAAACAACUUGGUGGUUGUUUCCUAAAGAGUGGGUUGAUUUCAAAAAGCAGUUGUCGGAAACAAUUUGCCAAACAAAUUGUGUGUUUCUAAAAAAUGAAGACAAAAAAUGAAAAAUAUACCAGUGAUGCCCUUAUGUGUCUUUAUUGUAUUUAUUGUUUGUUUGAAAUUUGCCUUUUUCUACUUUUCAGAAAGGAGACAGGCAGAAGCUGCUCGUAUCAGGGAGAAGUAUCCAGAUAGAAUUCCGGUAAUUGUGGAGAAAGCUGAAAGGAGUGACAACCCUGACAUUGAUAAGAAAUGGAUUAACUCAUGUACAAAGCUAAAUUGUACAGGACAAAUUGGCACUUUUUGU